AUCAAGAGCAUCAGUUCAUAUUUCUAUUUAAGUAGGUUAAAAAAAACCAUUACAUUUUCAUUGCAAAAAUAUACAAUUUUCUUAA
This 85-nucleotide transfer RNA is filed under the name Platerodrilus sp. UPOL VP2311. RNAcentral's name for it is "partial tRNA-Glu". Lineage: Eukaryota; Metazoa; Arthropoda; Insecta; Coleoptera; Lycidae. The record is from RNAcentral.